AUUGAACGCUGGCGGCAUGCCUAACACAUGCAAGUCGAACGAGUGGCGGACGGGUGAGUAAUGUCUGGGAACCUGCCCGAUGGCGGGGGAUAACUACUGGAAACGGUAGCUAAUACCGCAUACCCUCGGAUGUGCCCCUAUGGGAUUAGCUAGUAGGUGGGGUAAUGGCUCACCUAGGCGACGAUCCCUAGCUGGUCUGAGAGGAUGACCAGCCACACUGGAACUGAGACACGGUCCAGACUCCUACGGGAGGCAGCAGUGGGGAAUAUUGGACAAUGGGGGAAAGCCUGAUGCAGCCAUGCCGCGUGUAUGAAGAAGGCCUUCGGGUUGUAAAGUACUUUCAGCGGGGAGGCGUUACCCGCAGAAGAAGCACCGGCUAACACCGUGCCAGCAGCCGCGGUAAUUC
This 406-nucleotide ribosomal RNA is filed under the name uncultured bacterium. RNAcentral's name for it is "partial 16S ribosomal RNA". It matches the Rfam family "Bacterial small subunit ribosomal RNA", at positions 30 to 526 of the family's 1533-position model. The record is from RNAcentral.